CGCAAUGGGCGAAAGCCUGACGGAGCAAUGCCGGCGGAGGAUGAAAGCCUGUGGGUCGUAAACUCCUUUUCUCAGAGAAGAAGUUCUGACGGUAUCUGAGGAAUAAGCAUCGGCUAACUCCGUGCCAGCAGCCGCGGUAAGACGGAGGAUGCAAGCGUUAUCCGGAAUGAUUGGGCGUAAAGCGUCUGUAGGUGGUUUCUUGAGUCUACUGUUAAAGAUCAGGGCUUAACCCUGGGCAGGCAGUAGAAACUAAGAAGCUUGAGUACGGUAGGGGCAGAGGGAAUUCCCGGUGUAGCGGUGAAAUGCGUAGAGAUCGGGAAGAACACCAACGGCGAAAGCACUCUGCUGGGCCGAAACUGACACUGAGAGACGAAAGCUA
Molecule: ribosomal RNA, 379 nt
Filed under: uncultured organism
Description: bacterial SSU rRNA
Rfam family: Bacterial small subunit ribosomal RNA
Source: RNAcentral